GAUGAACGCUGGCGGCGUGCCUAAUACAUGCAAGUCGAGCGAACAGACGAGGAGCUUGCUCCUUUGACGUUAGCGGCGGACGGGUGAGUAACACGUGGAUAACCUACCUAUAAGACUGGGAUAACUUCGGGAAACCGGAGCUAAUACCGGAUAACAUGUUGAACCGCAUGGUUCAACAGUGAAAGACGGUCUUGCUGUCACUUAUAGAUGGAUCCGCGCCGCAUUAGCUAGUUGGUAAGGUAACGGCUUACCAAGGCAAUGAUGCGUAGCCGACCUGAGAGGGUGAUCGGCCACACUGGAACUGAGACACGGUCCAGACUCCUACGGGAGGCAGCAGUAGGGAAUCUUCCGCAAUGGGCGAAAGCCUGACGGAGCAACGCCGCGUGAGUGAAGAAGGUCUUCGGAUCGUAAAACUCUGUUAUUAGGGAAGAACAAAUGUGUAAGUAACUAUGCACGUCUUGACGGUACCUAAUCAGAAAGCCACGGCUAACUACGUGCCAGCAGCCGCGGUAAUACGUAGGUGGCAAGCGUUAUCCGGAAUUAUUGGGCGUAAAGCGCGCGUAGGCGGUUUUUUAAGUCUGAUGUGAAAGCCCACGGCUCAACCGUGGAGGGUCAUUGGAAACUGGAAAACUUGAGUGCAGAAGAGGAAAGUGGAAUUCCAUGUGUAGCGGUGAAAUGCGCAGAGAUAUGGAGGAACACCAGUGGCGAAGGCGACUUUCUGGUCUGUAACUGACGCUGAUGUGCGAAAGCGUGGGGAUCAAACAGGAUUAGAUACCCUGGUAGUCCACGCCGUAAACGAUGAGUGCUAAGUGUUAGGGGGUUUCCGCCCCUUAGUGCUGCAGCUAACGCAUUAAGCACUCCGCCUGGGGAGUACGACCGCAAGGUUGAAACUCAAAGGAAUUGACGGGGACCCGCACAAGCGGUGGGGCAUGUGGUUUAAUUCGAAGCAACGCGAAGAACCUUACCAAAUCUUGACAUCCUCUGACCCCUCUAGAGAUAGAGUUUUCCCCUUCGGGGGACAGAGUGACAGGUGGUGCAUGGUUGUCGUCAGCUCGUGUCGUGAGAUGUUGGGUUAAGUCCCGCAACGAGCGCAACCCUUAAGCUUAGUUGCCAUCAUUAAGUUGGGCACUCUAAGUUGACUGCCGGUGACAAACCGGAGGAAGGUGGGGAUGACGUCAAAUCAUCAUGCCCCUUAUGAUUUGGGCUACACACGUGCUACAAUGGACAAUACAAAGGGUAGCGAAACCGCGAGGUCAAGCAAAUCCCAUAAAGUUGUUCUCAGUUCGGAUUGUAGUCUGCAACUCGACUACAUGAAGCUGGAAUCGCUAGUAAUCGUAGAUCAGCAUGUUACGGUGAAUACGUUCCCGGGUCUUGUACACACCGCCCGUCACACCACGAGAGUUUGUAACACCCGAAGCCGGUGGAGUAACCUUUUGGAGCUAGCCGUCGAAGGUGGGACAAAUGAUUGGGGUGAAGUCGUAACAAGGUAGCCGUAUCGGAAGG
Molecule: ribosomal RNA, 1503 nt
Filed under: uncultured bacterium
Lineage: Bacteria
Description: bacterial SSU rRNA
Rfam family: Bacterial small subunit ribosomal RNA
Source: RNAcentral